This 496-nucleotide ribosomal RNA is filed under the name uncultured bacterium. RNAcentral describes it as "partial 16S ribosomal RNA". It matches the Rfam family "Bacterial small subunit ribosomal RNA", at positions 29 to 507 of the family's 1533-position model. The record is from RNAcentral.
AUGAACGCUGGCGGCGUGCCUAAUACAUGCAAGUCGAGCGAACGGACGAGAAGCUUGCUUCUCUGAUGUUAGCGGCGGACGGGUGAGUAACACGUGGAUAACCUACCUAUAAGACUGGGAUAACUUCGGGAAACCGGAGCUAAUACCGGAUAAUAUUUUGAACCGCAUGGUUCAAAAGUGAAAGACGGUCCUGCUGUCACUUAUAGAUGGAUCCGCGCUGCAUUAGCUAGUUGGUAAGGUAACGGCUUACCAAGGCAACGAUGCAUAGCCGACCUGAGAGGGUGAUCGGCCACACUGGAACUGAGACACGGUCCAGACUCCUACGGGAGGCAGCAGUAGGGAAUCUUCCGCAAUGGGCGAAAGCCUGACGGAGCAACGCCGCGUGAGUGAUGAAGGUCUUCGGAUCGUAAAACUCUGUUAUUAAGGAAGAACAUAUGUGUAAGUAACUGUGCACAUCUUGACGGUACCUAAUCAGAAAGCCACGGCUAACUACGUG